This 514-nucleotide ribosomal RNA is filed under the name uncultured bacterium. RNAcentral's name for it is "partial 16S ribosomal RNA". It matches the Rfam family "Bacterial small subunit ribosomal RNA", at positions 28 to 523 of the family's 1533-position model. The record is from RNAcentral.
GAUGAACGCUGGCGGCGUGCCUAAUACAUGCAAGUCGAGCGAACUGAUGAGAAGCUUGCUUCUCUGAUGUUAGCGGCGGACGGGUGAGUAACACGUGGGUAACCUACCUAUAAGACUGGGAUAACUCCGGUAAACCGGGGCUAAUACCGGAUAAUAUUUUGAACCGCAUGGUUUAAUAGUGAAAGACGGUUUCGGCUGUCUCUUAUAGAUGGACCCGGGCCGUAUUAGCUAGUUGGUAAGGUAACGGCUUACCAAGGCGACGAUACGUAGCAGACCUGAAAGGGUGAACGGCCACACUGGAACUGAGACACGGUCCAGACUCCUACGGGAGGCAGCAGUAGGGAAUCUUCCGCAAUGGGCGAAAGCCUGACGGAGCAACGCCGCGUGAGUGAUGAAGGCCUUCGGAUCGUAAAACUCUGUUGUUAGGGAAGAACAAAUUUGUUAGUAACUGAACAAGUCUUGACGGUACCUAACCAGAAAGCCACGGCUAACUACGUGCCAGCAGCCGCGGUAA